GACGAACGCUGGCGGCGUGCUUAACACAUGCAAGUCGAACGGUAAGGCCCCUUCGGGGGUACACGAGUGGCGAACGGGUGCGUAACACGUGGGUGAUCUGCCCUGCACUUCGGGAUAAGCCUGGGAAACUGGGUCUAAUACCGGAUAGGACCACGCUCUGCAUGGAGUGUGGUGGAAAGCUUUUGCGGUGUGGGAUGGGCCCGCGGCCUAUCAGCUUGUUGGUGGGGUGAUGGCCUACCAAGGCGACGACGGGUAGCCGGCCUGAGAGGGUGUCCGGCCACACUGGGACUGAGAUACGGCCCAGACUCCUACGGGAGGCAGCAGUGGGGAAUAUUGCACAAUGGGCGCAAGCCUGAUGCAGCGACGCCGCGUGGGGGAUGACGGCCUUCGGGUUGUAAACCUCUUUCAGUACCGACGAAGCGCAAGUGACGGUAGGUACAGAAGAAGCACCGGCCAACUACGUG
RNAcentral lists this ribosomal RNA (464 nucleotides) under uncultured bacterium. RNAcentral describes it as "partial 16S ribosomal RNA". It matches the Rfam family "Bacterial small subunit ribosomal RNA", at positions 28 to 507 of the family's 1533-position model. The record is from RNAcentral.